This 1713-nucleotide long non-coding RNA is filed under the name Cottoperca gobio. RNAcentral's name for it is "lncRNA (ENSCGOG00000004981.1)". Lineage: Eukaryota; Metazoa; Chordata; Actinopteri; Perciformes; Bovichtidae. The record is from RNAcentral.
GGCAUUUACGCUGUAUUCCCAUCUAGCUGUUAGCAGUGUGUCGCACACACAGUUCACAUGUGGUCCUUCACUGCUGACUACAACCACUCCCACCAAGGAUGCCAGGGACGGAGGGCGCCCAUACAUUAAUGCUACUCUAUCAUUUAACAACACUGUUUAGGGAAGUUGACGCUUUGUGUUGCGGCUACACUCCAGGAGGACUACCAACGAGUCACCGAGAGUCAACUGCCUUCAGGCCCUCGCUGUCAACAGAGCUGAGCUUCUCUCUUGUUGCUGUGCUGGAAUUUAUUGUUACACACGUGUGAAGUUUGGAGGUAAGCAACCACAGUCAGGCGUAGGCUGGUUAAAUCUCGUUCUGUCUGGUAAGGCAUGGUCGGUCAUUUACAUAUAUUAUCAUUACACUACACUAGGGGGCUGACCUCCAUGUGGCAAUCCACUCAAAGAAACGUGUUAUUUGUUGUGCUGGCUCAUACUGCUGCUGACCUGAACGUUCAGCCUUGAAAUAUACAAUAGUAAAAAUGAAAUGAAAACGUGUGCACCAUGUAUCACACAAUAAGUGACAACAAAAGUCAACAUGUCUGUUGUGUUGGAGGUCUCCUGGACUGUUUCAAACUGUAGAAUCAUUCCACGUGCUUAUACUUGGCGAUAGUUGGUGCAGGAAAAUAUGUUAACAUACGAAAAUAAUACUCUGCCUUUUGAUUAGCCUGCUAUUUCAGUCAGGACAGUUAUAAACAAAUAACAGCGCCAUCUUCUGCGACUUAAAAGUGUUUUCAAAUGACUGCGUUUGACAUGCGAUCCUGGAGCGCCCUCUGCUGGGGGAAUGGUAGACGUGUAUUUACUUUAACAGUAUCUCACUGAAAGCCAAACUAAAACAAGAUUAUAAAUUACAUAAACUCCGAUAGGAACCAACCAAAGUGGAAUCAGUGUUUUACAGACAUGUACUGGUAUCACUGUGGCCUCUUCCCCAGAUCUGAGAAAUGACUCUUAGUGACCUGAUCUAUUAUUAGGAAAACAAAUUCACCAGGCAGUUAUAUUUUUACAAACAGAUUACAGACAAUUCUUCAAACAAAGUGAGCCUCAUUCACCAGUUUUAGGCAGACUUCAUACAUACACAUUAUUAAAAUGGUACAAACAUCUAAAGAUCAGACAUUAUGUUGCUGAAUAUUGUCCACAUGGGAAUAUGUAUUGUUCUCUCCCCCAGUUUAUACUUGACAAGCAGGAUUCCCUGGCAGAAGAGAUAUUAUAUCUUAAUUGGACCUUUCUGGUUAAAUAAAGGAUCAAUAAAAAAUACAAAACAAAACCAUUUGUUAUGUGUUGAACUCUGAAUCAAUAGAUCACAGUGAAUAUAGUAUAUACAGCAUAGUGAUUUUUAUAUAAUGACAAUUUAAUAUUUUUCUCAUUAAUUCUAACAUAAUUUUGUUACAGGCAUGGACUUGAUACAACAGUAAACAGAUGAACAUUACUGUAAGUAGAUUAGUAAAAUACUACUAAUAAAACAGUUAUAGUGAUUUUUAUUCAGAAUAAUAUUCAAACACAUGUGGGAUUAUGAGUGAGAUUUAUGAUAAAAGUAUACUCCCAAUAUAAUUGUAACACUACAGCCAAUGUUUGCUCUUGCACACAGAAUGGUUUAGAAAUGUAUUAUGUGAUUUAUAUAUAAAUGACUCCAUGACUCCAUUUUCAAUGCUCACAAAAUUAGUUAUAUUUAUAUUAUAA